Drosophila simulans is the source of this 739-nucleotide long non-coding RNA. RefSeq lists it as uncharacterized. The record is from RefSeq and is a predicted model, not a curated record. NCBI's taxonomy places the organism in Eukaryota, Metazoa, Arthropoda, Insecta, Diptera, Drosophilidae. The transcript is spliced from 2 exons.
UUGGAAUGUCUAAAUUGAGACGCUGGCUGGUCGGACCCGGUUUCUGUUGUAUUUGUCAGUUUAAUUUCGCUAAAUGAAGUGGUGUUGCUGCAGCAGAAAUAACAAUGCGAAAUUAUUGCUAAACCUGUUUAAAUAUUUCAUUUAAUUGCCGUAUCUUUUGCAUUUUUCCACUGCGCAAGCCCACACACAAUACAACCAUAUUAAAUAUGGUUGAAAGAGGAGAGGUUGCUGCAGUACGAGGUACGCCUUCGCCUUCGGAUAUUAUUAGCUAGCGAGGAAUUAGUUGCCGCUUGGUCGCGCGAACUCCAACUGGGGAUAUAGCUCAGUGGUAGAGCAUUCGACUGCAGAUCGAGAGGUCCCCGGUUCAAACCCGGGUGUCCCCUUGGUAAACCUUUUUGCUGCUCCCCAGUUCAAAUAUAAAUAACAAAAAUAAUUAGCUCAUGGGGCCUUUGUUGGAGCUCGCAGCCACUCUUGGGGAUAUAGCUCAGUGGUAGAGCAUUCGACUGCAGAUCGAGAGGUCCCCGGUUCAAACCCGGGUGUCCCCUAGGUAAACUUUUUUCCCAUCUGCCUAAUAUUAUGGUCUAACUUUUGCUACAUUUCAAAUACAGUACUUAUGAUUUCUUUUAUGUUUAUGUUAUUUUAUGUAACUGAAUUAAUUGUGCCCUUUUUAAUGUAACAUCUUUUGACUCAAAUUCUUCUUGCCUAAAUACCUGUACUAAAAUAUAUUUCUAUUUGGCUA